Carassius auratus (goldfish) is the source of this 1048-nucleotide long non-coding RNA. RefSeq lists it as uncharacterized. The record is from RefSeq and is a predicted model, not a curated record. The transcript is spliced from 4 exons. NCBI's taxonomy places the organism in Eukaryota, Metazoa, Chordata, Actinopteri, Cypriniformes, Cyprinidae.
AACAUCCCAGCAUCCCAAUGAUCCAGCCGAAGAGGAUGAUGGCCACCGCCAUUCCCAUAAAUCCUGCCGUCAUCCUCCGCAGAUCUGUGGGUGGCGAGAAAUAAGGCAACAUAUGACUCAGAGCUGACGUGCGUAUCGCUGGCAGAGACAGGCACGAGGGGCUGCCAGAUGGAUGCUGCGUUGCUGUACUCGCCCUGGCCUUAUUAUUUGGUGACCCAGAUUGUGGUUUAUCCCUCGCCGAACCCAAACCAAGCUGGAUUAACGGUGAGAUACACCAAAGCAAGUCAUUCAUACAGGCUUUUUAACUCCCUGAGGUGGACGGAUGGAGCCGGGGUUUGCUCUCUCAAACUGAGGAGAAGUGAGCACCUAGCAACAGCAGCAUGGCCGCCCGCCUAUUACAGCCCAGUGAGUUAAUGGCAGUUCCCUGAGGCGAGAGAGAAUUCCAUCUCCCUUCUCCGCGUGAGUAUUCUCAUUUUCCUCCUCCGUCUCUCCGGGUAAAAAUGGCAACAGGAUGCUGUGCUCUUGAUUUUUAUUUAGUCCACACCUUCUAGGAUCCUCAACCUCUACGCAGACAUCUAUCCCUCGCCGCAGACGUAGUGCAUGCCAUUAUUUGUGAUGCCGAUAUCGAUCCUCUGCUGUUUUCUUGUUCUCUGCUUGUCAGAUUGCCCUCUGGACAGCAGACCUUUGGGAAUGUGAAAAAAGCUGGAUGCUGAGUGUUUCACAUCCCUCAGUCCUCUGCUCAUCUGAGUGAUCCGCUCAUGGCCUGAGGCUGAGCCCAGACAUCAACUCUCCACCGUCUCCAUGUUCCAGAAGUUCAUCACACAUUUGUCACUCACCCUCAUUGCUCUGACUGGACACAUAGACAUUUGCAGAAAACCUGAAAUUGUUAUAUACGGGUUCUACUAAAAGAAUUUGUCAAUAGGUAAAAAAUUACAUAUAUUCUUUUUUAAAUCUUGUUCAAAAUGAUUUGUUGAGUGUUUUUCACCAACAAUUGGAAUAGAAUAGUAUAGAAUACAGCCAGUAGCUUAUUUAUGUUUUUAUUAUUAUU